GGAAAUUUGGCCUUCUCCCCACGGAAACACAUGAUGCCAAAUUAAUAAAACAAAGGCUGAAAACUCUCUCCGCCCACUUUCCCCAAAUUACACUCACGAAUGGACAAAAUUUCCUCACUGCCCAACUCACAGAAAUCUCCAUAUCCACCCAUUUCGAGUCUCGGAAGGGAGAAAGCAAGCUCCGGUCGGCAUGUGCUUGAAGAUCUCCGGCCGCAAGGAGCCCUAGCGCACUCGCACAUGCAAAUGAAUUUCACAAAUCUUGUGAAAACUCUCAUUUCCACCUAAUCUUAGUCUCGUCUGGUAAGCGUAUAAAUGCAUAAUGUUGAUUUAGAUUCCAUAUUUACAGAUCAGAUGUCUGUUGAUAAAAAAUCUGGAAAAAAAAAUCGUAUCUGUUUUAGUUAUAUUUAUCGUUCUCUCCAUAUACCUGUGAUUUUUUCUUUUUUUUUCCCUUGGAUUGAAGAUUUUACCAGUGCUCUGUUAUUUUUAUAUUUGAAAUGUUAAACGUAGAAGACCACAUUUGAAUUGGUAGCAAUCAAAUUUCUCUACACACGAGUUUGGAUUUUUGCUUCACUAUUGUGGAUCUAUGUAAUAGCUGCUGGGCGCAAUUAGAAGUUUCAUUAUCAUGUUUAGUUUUUCCAUUAUCUCCUGCCUCUCAAUUUUUAUUUUUUAUUUUUUGCCAUGUUGAGAUAAAUCGAAUUACAGGAGUUUGGUCUUUAUUGAAGUAAGAUUUGCUAGCAUUGAUAUUGGAUCUUUGGUGAAACAUAGUAUUUGGUUGAAUCUUUUUCUGGGGCCAAAACGUGUCUCCUAACUUAUUAAAUCCGGUGUGUCAUCUAGAUUGGUCCCCUCAAUGCCAUCAGGCAUUUCCUACAUAAAGACCAUGUGGACGUUUGUAACCAUUUUCGCACCAAUGUUUCAGUAUAAUCAGUGGAUAAUUAAUCUGAGUUUCACAUGUGCAUCAUAUAAAUUGGUGUUUGAUGAUGUUGGCUUAAGUUUGGAACCUGCCUCUCUAUUACAAUUUGCUGGUGUACCACUAGGAUCAUGAGAAACUGUGGUUGGAAUACUUAUAAAUUUCUUAUUGAUGCAUAAUAUUGUUUGCCAACAAAUUCCUUUGUGUUAUUUUCCUUCGAACAACAGUGUUUUCUAUUUGAGUUGAUGCUCUGUGAUAUGUUCGCAUCGCAAAAUGGGCUAUAAGAAUUGUGGAAUCUGUCACAGUUGUAGAGUUGAGGGGCAUUUCUUAGCUGACUGUCCAUGGAAACGCCAACGCCCAAAUUGGGAGCACAGAUUUGAGCAAAGUUUCAUGGUGGAGGAGACUAAAAAUAUAGGGCGAUUAUUUUUUUGCUACAGUAAGAAAUGUGGAUUUUGGAAAUGGGUUUUCAAAGAAAAUUAAAGCAGCCAAUUGUCUAGAGCUAGCGCUUCUUUGGUUAACUUUGCAACUAACGAAACAUCUGAACAAAUAUCACACAUGUUUCAAUCUCAAGUUUGCAUCUCUGUGAAAGAAGAUCUACAUAUUAUGGUGAACGUAAAGGUGUGCAAGAAAUUGCCAAAAUGAAUUGAGAAGGAAAGGGGUCGACCUGAUUGGUAGCUAUUAAUUGAAGUAAUAGUUAUUACAUAAUCUUUUGUACGAGGUCGGACUACUUUGAGCGAAGGAAUGUAAACUAUGUUUGUAAAUUACGUUAAUUUAUGAAAUGUUAUAUUUCAACUCUUUUUUUUAACAUCAAUUGUUACUUGUAAAUUACCUUUUAGAUUAUCCAUUUGUAGUUGGCUUCGUAGAUUCACGGCCAUCUUGUUUAUUGAACCUUCAACUAAAAAGUCUCAAAUAAAAAAAUCCAUCGUAUUUGCCUUUUUUGUAGUUCUUAGCAAGAACAGUUGGGUGUUUUUAGUCCUCCUGGGAUUCAUCACGUAUUACCAUAACAUCCCUUUGGGAAAAGAGGAAAGAAUAACCGUUACAAUUUAAAGACUUCAACUAUAUGGAACAUUUUUCUUGUAUGUGCAUGUAUAAUACUAGGCACUAUUGUAAUUUUCUUGUUAUAAAACAGAGAUAAUUCGACGGAAGAUAAGGCAAAUUCCGAAUGUGGAGAACCCAACACCAACCUCAUCACCAGCUUCAUGGCUAUGUACAACUAAGAGAGAACUUGAAAGCCAGCCUCAUCAAUCACUAGAUUAAGGUACAAACUUCAUGGCUCAGUAUGAUGACCACGGACAUUUGCCCGAUUUUUACACUUUGCAAGCUCCUUUUUACUUUAUAUCACAAAGCCGAAAUGAAACAUGUCAAAAUGAAAAGCAAAGGUAAGCUAGCCCAACAUAUUCCUAAUAGAACUGUGUGUGUAUAUAUAUAUAUAUAUAUAUAUAUAUAUAUAUAUAUAUAUAUAUAUAGAUUGCCAAGUGAAUGUUAUAAACAUUCUAGUAGACUGCUGCUUCAAUAAAAAAUCUCCAUUGAAAUAUAUAUAUAUAUAUAUAUAUUGAUUGCCAAGUUAAUGUUAUAAACAUUCUAGUAGACUGCUGCUUCAAUAAAAAAUCUCCAUUGAACCAUGAGUUUCACACGUAUUUACGGCCUACGGUUGAAAGGAUGAGCACUAACGUCAAGAUUUCAGAAAUUGGCCGGAGGAGCAGCUGGUGACUCAGAAAAGAUGAGCACCGAGUUCUAAAUUUCAGAAACUUGGACCGAGGUCGAAGUUUCAAAAACGUGGUCGGAGGAGCAGCUGCUCGGUAGGUUUUCGGCCAGUAAAUCUAUUAUUCGAUGUCGCUGCUGGGGAGACUUCUAUGAGCUGGGCAGUGAGGAAAUUUUUUCCCUUUGUUAGUGUAAUUUGGGGAAAGUGGGUGCCGAGGUUUUGUUUUAUUAAUUUUGCAUUCACUUGGGAAAAGGCAAAAUUUCCCUCCAUUUUCUGGCUUUAUUAAUUUUGUAAUGAAUUAAAUAUUC
Molecule: long non-coding RNA, 2917 nt
Filed under: Olea europaea subsp. europaea
Lineage: Eukaryota; Viridiplantae; Streptophyta; Magnoliopsida; Lamiales; Oleaceae
Source: RNAcentral